This 1303-nucleotide ribosomal RNA is filed under the name Lycodon flavozonatus (big-tooth snake). Its description in RNAcentral is "partial 16S ribosomal RNA". It matches the Rfam family "Bacterial large subunit ribosomal RNA", at positions 532 to 2606 of the family's 2925-position model. Lineage: Eukaryota; Metazoa; Chordata; Lepidosauria; Squamata; Colubridae. The record is from RNAcentral.
AGCCGACUAAACAAUACAAAUAUAUUAACCCCACCAAACAAAACAUUUGAUCAACCAAGUAGAUGCGAUCGAACAGUAACAUACUACCACAUUAGUACCGCAAGGGACAACCACAAGCAACAAACAGCAAAGAUUAACCCUUGUACCUUUUGCAUCAUGGUCUAGCAAGAAAUCAAAGACAAGAAGAAUCACAGCCUCCACCCCGAAACCAGAUGAGCUACUUUAAAGCAGCCUAAUGGGCACACCCUUCUCUGUAGCAAAAGAGUGGGAAGACUUAAAAGUAGAGGUGAAACGCCUACCGAAUCUGGAGAUAGCUGGCUACCCCAAAAAGAAUCUAAGUUCAACCUUAAGACAAAACAAUACCCCAUUAUUGCCUAAGGACAAUCAAUAAAGGUACAGCUUUAUUGAAACAGGAUACAACCUGAAUUUGAGAGGAAAAUAAAACUACACUACCAGUAGGCCUUAAAGCAGCCACCCAAUAAAAUAUCGUUAUAGAAUUAAAUAAAAAACUCAAACAUCAAUUAAAAACUCCAAACCAACUAAAGGUAGACCUAUAAUCAUAGGUACUAUUAUGCUAGAACUAAUAAUAAGACAACCUCUCUUCAAUGCACCCGUCCCCUAGACCGGAUAUACCACUAGCCAUUAACAGACCAAAACAGGCAUAAACUAACCAAAACACACCUAUAAAUCAAACUGUGAACCCAACACAGGAGCAUUAAAAAGAAAGAUUUAACAUUAUAAAAGGAACUCGGCAAACACAGACCCCAACUGUUUAACAAAAACAUAACCUUUAGCCAAACAAAUAUUAAAGGCAACGCCUGCCCAGUGAACAAUUAAACGGCCGCGGUAUCCUAACCGUGCAAAGGUAGCAUAAUCAUUUGUCUACUAAUUAUAGACCUGUAUGAAAGGCAAAAUGAGGGUCCUACUGUCUCUUAUAAUUAAUCAAUUAAACUGAUCUACUAGUAAAAAAGCUAGAAUACCUACAUAAGACCAGAAGACCCUGUGAAGCUUAAACUAAACUAUUAAACCAUAUAAUAGCUACUUUCGGUUGGGGCGACCUUGGAAAAAAAAAGAACUUCCAAUACCAUGACCUUCCUCAUACUAAACCUAGGCCGACAGGCCAACAUAAGACCCAGCAAAGCUGAUAAACGAACCAAGUUACUCCAGGGAUAACAGCGCAAUCUUCUUCAAGAGCCCAUAUCAAAAAGAAGGUUUACGACCUCGAUGUUGGAUCAGGACAUCCUAAUGGUGUAGCCGCUAUUAAGGGUUCGUUUGUUCAACGAUUAAUAGUCCUACGUGAUCU